GGAGAGCUUACCCCGGUGAGUGUGUUGUUUUUGUAAUAUAAAAUUCACAAUCUCAAUGGCAUACUAGAAGUAAAAUCUCUGGACCUCUUGGUUCCUCUGUUGAUUGGGAUACUAUUAACUCCUGCAUCUAGCCUCUGCAAUGUAUAAUUCUGCAGCCUAGCUGCAAUUUUUGUGCAUUUUAUCUAGUUUUAUUAGAACGCAGACCUGCGUGCAAUGAAUAUAUUGAAUUGAGAAUUUUGGAUCAGUGUUGAUGUCGUCUUGGGUCUGAUUAACCAUUAACAUUUUUUCUGGUAUUUAUAUACCUGCAAAAUGUUUCUUUAUUUGGGCAUGUUUUUGGAUACAAUGCUUGGUUGGCCAGUCCAGUUUGAUGUCUUGUCCAACCUGACCUGACUAUAUACAGAUCUUCAUUGUGAUACCCUGGCAUGUUCCAUUAGUUUCUUCUUCUCAGGUUACACAAUUGUACAUUGAUUUGGCAUAUUACAUAAUUUUUAUUCAGGAUUGUGUUCUAUCUAGUCAAUUGACUUAAGAUUUUCCUUUGGCAGGCAGACAAAUUAAACUUGCACCAAUAAUCUGGCUAACCAACUAUUAUUAUUGCUUGGAUGAUAUUAAUUUGAGGUAGAUUUGUUCAUAGUCUAGGGAACCAGCACAGACCUCCCUUAGAAAAUGGCAAGCUUAGGCUAGGAUUUUUGUAACUUGGAAUGGCCCGGCCUGGCCUGCUCUCAAAAUUGGUUGGCCCGGCUUGGUACCAACACUUUAUUGACGCCCUGUCUGACAAAAAGAAAAUGUACUUUUUAUAUUUUUAAUUAUGUUUAUUCAGUUGGGAUGGGCUUGAGCAAUUAUGAGUUGAGGCCAAAGUGAUUCAAGCUUGACUUGGCCUGGCUGAACAAGUGGGUUACACUUGGUUAAAAUAAAUAGAGUGCCACUAAAUCCUUGGGUGUUGUUUUCGUGUACACGUCAGAUUAUAAUUCAUCAAUCAACUGAUCAAUUUGGAAAAGAAAAGAAAAGAAAA
RNAcentral lists this unclassified non-coding RNA (1009 nucleotides) under Hevea brasiliensis (rubber tree). The record is from RNAcentral. Lineage: Eukaryota; Viridiplantae; Streptophyta; Magnoliopsida; Malpighiales; Euphorbiaceae.